ACCUGGCUAGCCCAGUCGGUAGAGCAUGUGGCUCUGGAUCUCAGAGUUGUGAGUUCAAGCUCCAUGCUGGGUG
Molecule: transfer RNA, 73 nt
Filed under: Felis catus (domestic cat)
Lineage: Eukaryota; Metazoa; Chordata; Mammalia; Carnivora; Felidae
Rfam family: tRNA
About the family: Transfer RNA (tRNA) molecules are approximately 80 nucleotides in length. Their secondary structure includes four short double-helical elements and three loops (D, anti-codon, and T loops).
Source: Rfam by way of RNAcentral